This 253-nucleotide ribosomal RNA is filed under the name uncultured bacterium. RNAcentral describes it as "partial 16S ribosomal RNA". It matches the Rfam family "Bacterial small subunit ribosomal RNA", at positions 524 to 776 of the family's 1533-position model. The record is from RNAcentral.
UACAGAGAGUGCGAACGUUGUUCGGAAUUACUGGGCUUAAAGCGCACGUAGGCGGCAUCGUAAGUGUCCGGUGAAAUCCCACGGCUCACCCGUGGAACUGCCUGGCAGACUGCGAUGCUCGAGUGUGGUAGGGGAGAGCGGAACUCCUGGUGGAGCGGUGAAAUGCGUAGAUAUCAGGAGGAACACCAAUGGCGAAGGCAGCUCACUGGGACGGUAUUGACGCUGAGACGCGAAAGCGUGGGGAGCAAACAGG